UCUCCCUGGAAAACGGGUGGUAAUGCCGGAUGCUCCGACUCCUCGCAUGGGGUGUCGGGAAAGAUUUCAUCGGUAUGGGAUGGGGUCGCGUCCUAUCAGGUAGUCGGCGGGGUAACGGCCCACCGAGCCUACGACGGGUAGCCGGCCUGAGAGGGCGACCGGCCACAUUGGGACUGAGAUACGGCCCAGACUCCUACGGGAGGCAGCAGUGGGGAAUAUUGCACAAUGGGCGCAAGCCUGAUGCAGCGACGCCGCGUGCGGGAUGACGGCCUUCGGGUUGUAAACCGCUUUUGAUCGGGAGCAAGCCUUCGGGUGAGUGUACCUUUCGAAUAAGCACCGGCUAACUACGUGCCAGCAGCCGCGGUAAUACGUAGGGUGCAAGCGUUAUCCGGAAUUAUUGGGCGUAAAGGGCUCGUAGGCGGUUCGUCGCGUCCGGUGUGAAAGUCCAUCGCUUAACGGUGGAUCUGCGCCGGGUACGGGCGGGCUGGAGUGCGGUAGGGGAGACUGGAAUUCCCGGUGUAACGGUGGAAUGUGUAGAUAUCGGAAAAGAACACC
Molecule: ribosomal RNA, 555 nt
Filed under: Bifidobacterium pseudocatenulatum
Lineage: Bacteria; Bacillati; Actinomycetota; Actinomycetes; Bifidobacteriales; Bifidobacteriaceae
Description: bacterial SSU rRNA
Rfam family: Bacterial small subunit ribosomal RNA
Source: RNAcentral